GACGAACGCUGGCGGCGUGCUUAACACAUGCAAGUCGAACGGAAAGGCCCUGCUUUUGUGGGGUGCUCGAGUGGCGAACGGGUGAGUAACACGUGAGUAACCUGCCCUUGACUUUGGGAUAACUUCAGGAAACUGGGGCUAAUACCGGAUAGGAGCUCCUGCUGCAUGGUGGGGGUUGGAAAGUUUCGGCGGUUGGGGAUGGACUCGCGGCAUAUCAGCUUGUUGGUGGGGUAGUGGCUUACCAAGGCUUUGACGGGUAGCCGGCCUGAGAGGGUGACCGGCCACAUUGGGACUGAGAUACGGCCCAGACUCCUACGGGAGGCAGCAGUGGGGAAUAUUGCACAAUGGGCGGAAGCCUGAUGCAGCAACGCCGCGUGCGGGAUGACGGCCCUCGGGUUGUAAACCGCUUUCGCCUGUGACGAAGUGUGAGUGACGGUAAUGGGUAAAGAAGCACCGGCUAACUACGUG
This 468-nucleotide ribosomal RNA is filed under the name uncultured bacterium. RNAcentral describes it as "partial 16S ribosomal RNA". It matches the Rfam family "Bacterial small subunit ribosomal RNA", at positions 28 to 507 of the family's 1533-position model. The record is from RNAcentral.